RNAcentral lists this ribosomal RNA (435 nucleotides) under uncultured bacterium. RNAcentral's name for it is "partial 16S ribosomal RNA". It matches the Rfam family "Bacterial small subunit ribosomal RNA", at positions 29 to 507 of the family's 1533-position model. The record is from RNAcentral.
AGCGAACGCUGGCGGCAGGCUUAACACAUGCAAGUCGAGCGGGCAUAGCAAUAUGUCAGCGGCAGACGGGUGAGUAACGCGUGGGAACGUACCUUUUGGUUCGGAACAACUGAGGGAAACUUCAGCUAAUACCGGAUAAGCCCUUACGGGGAAAGAUUUAUCGCCGAAAGAUCGGCCCGCGUCUGAUUAGCUAGUUGGUGAGGUAAUGGCUCACCAAGGCGACGAUCAGUAGCUGGUCUGAGAGGAUGAUCAGCCACAUUGGGACUGAGACACGGCCCAAACUCCUACGGGAGGCAGCAGUGGGGAAUAUUGGACAAUGGGCGCAAGCCUGAUCCAGCCAUGCCGCGUGAGUGAUGAAGGCCCUAGGGUUGUAAAGCUCUUUUGUGCGGGAAGAUAAUGACGGUACCGAAAGAAUAAGCCCCGGCUAACUUCGUG